GAUGAACGCUGGCGGCGUGCCUAAUACAUGCAAGUCGAGCGAACGGACGAGAAGCUUGCUUCUCUGAUGUUAGCGGCGGACGGGUGAGUAACACGUGGAUAACCUACCUAUAAGACUGGGAUAACUUCGGGAAACCGGAGCUAAUACCGGAUAAUAUUUUGAACCGCAUGGUUCAAAAGUGAAAGACGGUCUUGCUGUCACUUAUAGAUGGAUCCGCGCUGCAUUAGCUAGUUGGUAAGGUAACGGCUUACCAAGGCAACGAUGCAUAGCCGACCUGAGAGGGUGAUGGGCCACGCUGGAACUGAGACACGGUCCAGACUCCUACGGGAGGCAGCAGUAGGGAAUCUUCCGCAAUGGGCGAAAGCCUGACGGAGCAACGCCGCGUGAGUGAUGAAGGUCUUCGGAUCGUAAAACUCUGUUAUUAGUGAAGAACAUAUGUGUAAGUAACUGUGCACAUCUUGACGGUACCUAAUCAGAAAGCCACGGCUAACUACGUG
RNAcentral lists this ribosomal RNA (497 nucleotides) under uncultured bacterium. RNAcentral describes it as "partial 16S ribosomal RNA". It matches the Rfam family "Bacterial small subunit ribosomal RNA", at positions 28 to 507 of the family's 1533-position model. The record is from RNAcentral.